UUUCGGUUAAAUCUAUAUGCUCAACAUAUAGGCUGCCGGGAAUACUGCAAAGCUAGGGAAUGGGAGAGGUAGACGGUACUCCGUAGGAAGGGGUAAAAUCCUUUGAUCUAUGGAUGACCACCUGUGGUGAAGGCGGUCUACCAGAACAUGUCCGACGGUGAGGGAUGAAAGCUGGGGGAGCAAACCGGAUUAGAUACCCGGGUAGUCCCAGCUGUAAACUAUGCAAACUCAGUGAUGCAUUGGCUUGUGGCCAGUGCAGUGCCGCAGGGAAGCCGUUAAGUUUGCCGCCUGGGAAGUACGUACGCAAGUAUGAAACUUAAAGGAAUUGGCGGGGGAGCACCACAAGGGGUGAAGCCUGCGGUUCAAUUGGAGUCAACGCCAGAAAUCUUACCCGGAGAGACAGCAGAAUGAAGGUCAAGUUGAAGACUUUACCAGACAAGCUGAGAAGUGGUGCAUGGCCGUCGCCAGCUCGUGCCGUGAGAUGUCCUGUUAAGUCAGGUAACGAGCGAGAUCCUUGCCUCUAGUUGCCACCAUUACUCUCAGGAGUAGUGGGGCGAAUUAGCGGGACUGCCGUAGUUAAUACGGAGGAAGGAGAGGGCCACGGCAGGUCAGUAUGCCCUGAAACUCUGGGGCCACACGCGGGCGGCAAUGGUAGUGACAAUGGGUUCCGAAUCCGAAAGGAGGAGGUAAUCCUCAAACGCUACCACAGUUAUGACUGAGGGCUGCAACUCCCCUCCCGAAUAUGGAAUCCUAGUAACUGCGUGUCAUUA
This 770-nucleotide ribosomal RNA is filed under the name uncultured archaeon. RNAcentral describes it as "bacterial SSU rRNA". It matches the Rfam family "Archaeal small subunit ribosomal RNA", at positions 539 to 1310 of the family's 1478-position model. The record is from RNAcentral.